GGAGGAGUAAGCCAAGGGAAGCCUAUGGGGGUGAAAGAGAUAAGAUAACCUUCUCGAGCCCAAAUGGGAGAAGGGAGGACCACCAGCAAAAGAGGGAAAAACUUGAGGGCCUGGCUGGCCUGGUGUGAAGGAGGCCAGGUGCAGCAGCUGGUGCCUCUUUAGACCCUUAUCCCAGCUCAGGGACAGCAGCUGGCAGAGCUAGAUGGUGUUCUGGAGUCCCCAGUAGCAACAAGCAGGAGAAAUGUCAACCACAGCCGCAAAAGAAUUCCAAAAAUCACACCAGGAGUCAGUCAGAUGGUGCUACACAUUCUCAGCCUCAUCUCAGAACAGGACAGAGCUACUCUGAAGGGGAAGUAUCCAUGGCCGGAUUCCAUCGGAGGUGCCACUAGGGAGCAAGCUGGGGUGAAGUCUCAGACUGGAAGACACUCGGACCUGUUCCAAGCCAGGGAGCAGGAGGCAGAAGCCGGAGGAGCGAGAGGGUGGCUGACUACCUUGGCCCCUGGGGGGUCAGAGCAGACCCUGGGACAGGGAGAAGCAGCGGAGAAAGGGCCUUUGAAUGACAGGGCUAAGGGAAGGAAACCUCGCUCUGGGACUGGGAUCGGGCAAGACUCUUUCUGCUCAGAAAAGGACAGGACUGAGCGCAUUUCAACAUCAGCAUCAGCAUCAACCACCACGAAUAUUCAGGGGUGUGAGGUGAAAGCUCAGCUUCGUCCUGAGAAGUCAGCAAAAGGAUCUCAUGAGAACCAAGUGAGUUUCCCCAGCCCAGACCUACAAGCUUCAGGGAACCUACAGGUAAUUCUGGAGCUUUAUAGGGAGUUUGGGG
Molecule: long non-coding RNA, 823 nt
Filed under: Phascolarctos cinereus (koala)
Lineage: Eukaryota; Metazoa; Chordata; Mammalia; Diprotodontia; Phascolarctidae
Description: lncRNA (ENSPCIG00000029293.2)
Source: RNAcentral